UAAAAACUAAAUCUCCGAGUCGUAAUUGCCUACCGGGGAUGACAAAGCUGUCAUUCCCAUGGCAACCGACCAUUGGGUCCUGCUGGAAACGGCAGCGCCUCCCUUUUGGAAAGGAGAGUCACCGAACGGCAU
Molecule: regulatory RNA element, 132 nt
Organism: Geobacter sp.
Lineage: Bacteria; Pseudomonadati; Thermodesulfobacteriota; Desulfuromonadia; Geobacterales; Geobacteraceae
Rfam family: Molybdenum/Tungsten riboswitch aptamer (Moco RNA motif)
Source: Rfam